UAUUAUAUAUUUUAAUAAAAAUAUUAAUUUUGUAAAUUAAUGAUAAAUAAAAUUUUAUUUUAUAAUAA
Molecule: transfer RNA, 68 nt
Filed under: Macrocentrus camphoraphilus
Lineage: Eukaryota; Metazoa; Arthropoda; Insecta; Hymenoptera; Braconidae
Description: tRNA-Thr
Source: RNAcentral